RNAcentral lists this ribosomal RNA (207 nucleotides) under uncultured bacterium. RNAcentral's name for it is "partial 16S ribosomal RNA". It matches the Rfam family "Bacterial small subunit ribosomal RNA", at positions 568 to 774 of the family's 1533-position model. The record is from RNAcentral.
UGCGUAGGCUGUGCAGAAAGUUGGGUGUGGAAUACCUCGGCUUAACCGAGGAAUUGCGCCCAAAACUACUGUGCUAGAGGAAGAUAGAGGUGAGCGGAACUUAGGGUGGAGCGGUGAAACGCGUUGAUAUCCUAAGGAACACCGGUGGCGAAAGCGGCUCACUGGAUCUUAUCUGACGCUGAGGCACGAAAGCAGGGUAGCGGAACG